UACGAAGGGUGCAAGCGUUACUCGGAAUUACUGGGCGUAAAGCGUGCGUAGGUGGUUCGUUAAGUCCGACGUGAAAUCCCAAGGCUUAACCUUGGAACUGCGUCGGAUACUGGAUGGCUUGAAUUCGGGAGAGGGAUGCAGAAUUCCAGGUGUAGCGGUGAAAUGCGUAGAUAUCUGGAGGAAUACCGGUGGCGAAGGCGGCAUCCUGGACCGACAUUGACGCUGAGGAGCGAAAGCUAGGGGAGCAAACGGG
This 253-nucleotide ribosomal RNA is filed under the name uncultured bacterium. RNAcentral's name for it is "partial 16S ribosomal RNA". It matches the Rfam family "Bacterial small subunit ribosomal RNA", at positions 524 to 776 of the family's 1533-position model. The record is from RNAcentral.